Molecule: non-coding RNA, 102 nt
Filed under: Thalassolituus maritimus
Lineage: Bacteria; Pseudomonadati; Pseudomonadota; Gammaproteobacteria; Oceanospirillales; Oceanospirillaceae
Also listed under: 1 other name
Description: Ribosomal S15 leader
Rfam family: Ribosomal S15 leader
About the family: The E. coli Ribosomal S15 gene 5' UTR can form two alternative structures. One that is a series of three hairpins, The other includes a pseudoknot.
Source: RNAcentral
CUGUAAAUGUGCACGGUGGUGAUGUGAUUUUUUGCACAUUAGACGGAGUAAAGAACAUGGCACUGUCUGCUGAAAAGAAAGCCGAAAUCGUAAAAGAAUUCC